AAAAAUGGAUCUCUUGGUUUUCGAUGCAAAACGCAAUGGAAAUCAUCGACACGUGGCGGGUAGAGUUCCUGUAGCUCUGAAUAAGGAAGAUCUCGAAGAAGUUUUAGGUUUCAGGAGGAUUGAUGCAUUUUUGGUGGGUUUCGUAUUAUGAAGACGCAGAAAAAUGGGAAAAAACCUGGAAUUUUUCGCGCUCCAUUGACAAUCGUCUGUCGGACAACGCGUGGGAAAGCGCGUGUACUCCACACGGACAAAUACAUUUAGUUUUACAAUCGAGCCGCGACGCGACACGCAACGCGCCGUAAAUCUACCCCAGAUAUGGCCGAGCCAAAAUGGCCUAGUUCGGCAAAAAACUCUUCCAUUUCAAUUUAUGAGGAAAGCCAGAAAUCCGUGUUUUUGGCGGCAAUUCGCCGUUCUUAUUGAUUUUUAUGCUAAAAUAAUGUUAAAAACCAUUUGAAUUCACGAUUUUGCCGCCAAAAACCCAACGGGACCCAAUUUUUCUGCGUCUCCAUAAUACGAAACCCACCAAAAAUGCAUCAAUCCUCCUGAUUGUCCUGAUUGAUGCAUUUUUGGUGGGUUUCGUAUUAUGAAGAUGCGGAAAAAUUGGGUCCCGUUGUGUUUUUGGCGGCAAAAUCGUGAAUUCAAACAGUUUUUAAUGAUUUUUUACAUUAUUUUAGCAUAAAAAUCUAUAAAAACGGCGAAUUGCCGCCAAAAUCACUGAUUUUUGGCUUCCCUCAUAAAUUUAAAUGGAAGAGUUUGCCGAACUCGACCAUUUCGGCUCGGCCAUAUCUGGGGUAGAUUUACGGCGCGUUGCGUGUCGCGUCGCGGCUCGAUUGUAAAACUAAAUGCACUUGUCCGUGUGAAGUACACGACUUUCCCACGCGUUGUCCGGCAGGCGAUUGCCAAUGGAGCGCCGCGAAAAAUUCAAUGAGAAAGGCCAGAACUCCGUGAAAACCCCAGCGGGACCCAUGCAUCGGAGGCGGAAAUUGCCGAUAGAGCGCGUUUCGAUUUCAAAUCGGGAAUUUUUCUGCGCCUCUAUAAUAAUUUUGAAAAAAAUCAAUAAAAAAUCGAUAUUUUUUCCAGAAUGGUGGACUUGUCGAGAUAUUUGAUGAGACAGCUUCACGAAUUAUCCAUGAAAUGUCUGGAAUUGGCCAGUGGUUGAAGGAUGAGAGGAAAGAGAGUCGAGGUGUCAGUAGAUCAUGCUUCAGUCAAAGUUGCGGGGAGCCAAAUGGAAAGCUCAAUGAGCAAGCUGCCAAUGAG
This 1257-nucleotide small RNA is filed under the name Caenorhabditis elegans. RNAcentral's name for it is "Unclassified non-coding RNA Y56A3A.44". Lineage: Eukaryota; Metazoa; Nematoda; Chromadorea; Rhabditida; Rhabditidae. The record is from RNAcentral.